RNAcentral lists this ribosomal RNA (495 nucleotides) under uncultured bacterium. RNAcentral describes it as "partial 16S ribosomal RNA". It matches the Rfam family "Bacterial small subunit ribosomal RNA", at positions 28 to 507 of the family's 1533-position model. The record is from RNAcentral.
GACGAACGCUGGCGGCGUGCCUAAUACAUGCAAGUCGAACGCUGAAGGAGGAGCUUGCUUCUCUGGCGGAGUUGCGAACGGGUGAGUAACGCGUAGGUAACCUGCCCGGUAGCGGGGGAUAACUAUUGGAAACGAUAGCUAAUACCGCAUAAUAGUAGAUGUUGCAUGACAUUUGCCUAAAAUGUGCAAUUGCAUCACUACCAGAUGGAGCUGCGUUGUUUUAGCUUGUUGGUGGGGUAACGGCUCACCAAGGCGACGAUACAUAGCCGACCUGAGAGGGGGGAUGGCCAACCUGGGACUGGGACACGGCCCAGGCUCCUUCGGGGAGGAGCAAGAGGGAAACUUCGGCAAAGGGCGGAAAGCUGGCCGAGGAACGCCGCGUGAGGUGAGAAGGGUUUCGGGUCGGAAAGGUCGGUUUUAUGGGAAGAAAGAGUGUGAGAGUGGAAAGUUCACGCUGUGACGGUAUCUUACCAGAAAGCAACGGCUAACUACGUG